GAUGAAGAACGUAGCGAAAUGCGAUAAGUAAUGUGAAUUGCAGAAUUCAGUGAAUCAUCGAAUCUUUGAACGCACAUUGCGCCCCUUGGUAUUCCGAGGGGCAUGCCUGUUCGAGCGUCAUUAUAACCCCUCAAGCUCAGCUUGGUGUUGGGGCCUGCUGCACUGGCAGCCCUUAAAAUCAGUGGAGGCGCCAUCUGGCUCUAAGCGUAGUAAUUCUUCUCGCUAUGGAGUCCUGGUGGAUGCUUGCCAUCAACCCCCAAUUUUUCUAUGGUUGACCUCGGAUCAGGUAGGGAUACCCGCUGAACUUAAGCAUAUCAAUAAGCGGAGGA
RNAcentral lists this unclassified non-coding RNA (329 nucleotides) under soil metagenome. Its description in RNAcentral is "partial contains 5.8S ribosomal RNA, internal transcribed spacer 2, and large subunit ribosomal RNA". The stretch from base 1 to 120 matches the Rfam family "5.8S ribosomal RNA", at positions 35 to 154 of the family's 154-position model. The record is from RNAcentral.